ACUGGGGAGCUGAAAGGCUGAGAGUAGUUUACGAACUUAACCCAUUUAACCUGAUACGGAUAAUGCCGACGAAGGGAGUAUUUUAUU
This 87-nucleotide non-coding RNA is filed under the name human oral metagenome. Its description in RNAcentral is "TPP riboswitch (THI element)". It matches the Rfam family "TPP riboswitch aptamer (THI element)", at positions 9 to 90 of the family's 105-position model. Rfam says of the family: Vitamin B(1) in its active form thiamin pyrophosphate (TPP) is an essential coenzyme that is synthesised by coupling of pyrimidine and thiazole moieties in bacteria. The record is from RNAcentral.